RNAcentral lists this ribosomal RNA (81 nucleotides) under Staphylococcus epidermidis. RNAcentral describes it as "partial 23S ribosomal RNA". The record is from RNAcentral. Lineage: Bacteria; Bacillati; Bacillota; Bacilli; Caryophanales; Staphylococcaceae.
ACGAGGUUAAUAGGUUCGAGGUGGAAGCGUGGUGACACGUGGAGCUGACGAAUACUAAUCGAUCGAAGACUUAAUCAAUUU